GCCGAGGUAGCCAAGUGGCCAACGGCGAUGGACUCAAGAUCAAUCAAAAGUCGCCAGACUCUGAUGAGAAAUCCAUUCUUGUAGGAGUUCGUGGGUUCGAAUCCCAUCCUCGGCA
RNAcentral lists this transfer RNA (115 nucleotides) under Candidatus Thorarchaeota archaeon AB_25. RNAcentral's name for it is "tRNA-Leu". It matches the Rfam family "tRNA". From Rfam's summary of the family: Transfer RNA (tRNA) molecules are approximately 80 nucleotides in length. Lineage: Archaea; Promethearchaeati; Candidatus Thorarchaeota. The record is from RNAcentral.